RNAcentral lists this ribosomal RNA (397 nucleotides) under uncultured eukaryote. RNAcentral describes it as "SSU rRNA". It matches the Rfam family "Eukaryotic small subunit ribosomal RNA", at positions 587 to 972 of the family's 1831-position model. The record is from RNAcentral.
AGCUCCAAUAGGAUAUAUCAAAGUUGUUGCAGUUGAAAAGCUCGUAGUCGUAUUUUUGGCGGGUUGAUGUCUCUUGCUCGCUUGGCGCAAGCCAGGUGUCUCGGGGCCGCCUGUCAUUUUGUGGGCUCAAGUGGCCAGGCUGUGGUUUACUCCAUGACCUGGUCGCUCCACUCCGUCACUGAGAGCAAAUUGGAGUGCUCAAAGCAGGCUUUACAGCUUUGAACAUUUUAGCUUGGAAUGACAAAGUAUGACCAUUUGUUCACUUUGUUGGUUAUGAACGGGAGGUAAUGAUAAAUAGGAACAGUUGCGGGGGUACUCGUACUGGAAAGUCAGAGGUGAAAUUCUUGGAUUUUUCCACGACGAACGACUGCGAAAGCAUUUAUCAAGGAUGUUUUCA